CGGGAUGUAGCUCAGUUGGUAGAGCGCACGGUUCGGGACCGUGAGGUCGUGGGUUCGAGUCCCGCCAUCCCGACCA
Molecule: transfer RNA, 76 nt
Filed under: Candidatus Peregrinibacteria bacterium
Lineage: Bacteria; Candidatus Peregrinibacteriota
Description: tRNA-Pro
Rfam family: tRNA
About the family: Transfer RNA (tRNA) molecules are approximately 80 nucleotides in length. Their secondary structure includes four short double-helical elements and three loops (D, anti-codon, and T loops).
Source: RNAcentral